This 21-nucleotide unclassified non-coding RNA is filed under the name Mus musculus (house mouse). Its description in RNAcentral is "oocyte_clustered_small_RNA12838". Lineage: Eukaryota; Metazoa; Chordata; Mammalia; Rodentia; Muridae. The record is from RNAcentral.
UUCUCCUCAUGGUGGACGCUC